UGGGGAAUCUUAGACAAUGGGCGCAAGCCUGAUCUAGCCAUGCCGCGUGGAUGAAGAAGGCCUUAGGGUCGUAAAGUCCUUUCGCUGGGGAAGAUAAUGACGGUACCCAGUAAAGAAACCCCGGCUAACUCCGUGCCAGCAGCCGCGGUAAUACGGAGGGGGUUAGCGUUGUUCGGAAUUACUGGGCGUAAAGCGCGCGUAGGCGGAUCGGAAAGUCGGGGGUGAAAUCCCGGGGCUCAACCCCGGAAUUGCCUUCGAAACUCCCGGUCUUGAGUUCGAGAGAGGUGAGUGGAAUUCCGAGUGUAGAGGUGAAAUUCGUAGAUAUUCGGAGGAACACCAGUGGCGAAGGCGGCUCACUGGCUCGAUACUGACGCUGAGGUGCGAAAGCGUGGGGAGCAAACAGG
Molecule: ribosomal RNA, 404 nt
Filed under: uncultured Paracoccaceae bacterium
Lineage: Bacteria; Pseudomonadati; Pseudomonadota; Alphaproteobacteria; Rhodobacterales; Paracoccaceae
Description: bacterial SSU rRNA
Rfam family: Bacterial small subunit ribosomal RNA
Source: RNAcentral